This is a non-coding RNA of Paramuricea clavata, 1114 nucleotides long. NCBI's taxonomy places the organism in Eukaryota, Metazoa, Cnidaria, Anthozoa, Malacalcyonacea, Plexauridae. The record is from the annotation of a GenBank genome assembly.
UGUAUAUGUAUGUAUGUAUAUGUAUAAAUUGAAUUAUUUUAACUUCGGUUGUACUUCCGAUGAAAAGGACUUGACUUGAGGGUUCUGAGCGUUCAGUAUCUAUAAACAAACUGAGUCGGUGUCUGGUCAUACUUACUAAUAAAAUUAAAUAACCAUUUUAAGAUUAGAAAGCACAAAAUGGUCUGGAUAACUAUUAGAUUUAAUUAAACACAGAAACGGCAAAUAUAAACUUACACUUUUAUUUUCAAUAUAAUUAUUUUAAUUCUUGAACAUACGUACCAAUCGAUCUAACAAAGUAAACGAACAAGUAAAGGCGGGUUUUCAUCUCGACCGUAUCGUAGCAUUUUCUUUUGUGUCGAAGUCACUAGUUCUACUCUAGUGGUCAGGAAACGAAGAAAUACGCUACACUUCGCUCGAUACGGUUGAAGUGGAAAACCAGCUUAAAGUGCGCGGAAAACGUGUUGAAACGAAUUUAGUUACAGGGAACGAAGGUCAUUAAUAUUAAUGAAACAAAAAACCCUUCGACUUUACCUUCUAUGUCGUCCAUAUUAAUAUAUUUUCAAAGCCUAAUUCAAAGCGAGGCUAGCGACUCGCAACUCGCAGCUCGCAAAAUAGCCGACCCCAUAUAUAUUGUCGUAAUCUUCCUUUCGAAAAGAUGCUUACGUGGUAAUAUACGAACUCUAGUGUCAUUCUGUGAUCCCAAAUUUCCUUCGUUUAUUGUUAUAAAAUGUUUGAAGCUAGCUUCGUAUAAACGCGGUCGCAAUUUAGCUCAAUAUGUGAUUAUUGUAGGGUCCAUGUCCUUGCGUUUCUUUUUAUAAUCAUUAGGAUUAAGUUACUUUCAUGAAUCCAUGCCAUCCCGACGUUUGUGAGCUUGUGCCCCAAUUUAGUGUAUAUCAUUGGAAAGAGGAUGAAAUACUGCACCAUUGAUAUAGUUGAGUUUCGAAACAAUUAGGGAGGCGAUUUUGUGCAAACGCUUGCUGAAUAUAGAUGUUGGCACAGUGUAAUUCUAUAGUCUAACAUUUAUAUAUAAACAAAAGAAUCUAGCACCUUAUUAUUCCUUGCCUUUUAGGCGUAGCUGAGCUUGUGUCCCAACUUACUGCACAUCAUUGGAAAA